GUCCACGCUGUAACGAUGAGCGCUAGGUGUCGUGGGUAUUGACCCCGCGGUGCCGUAGCUAACGCAUUAAGCGCUCCGCCUGGGAAGUACGGUCGCAAGACUAAACUCAAAGGAAUUGACGGGGCCCGCACAAGCGGUGGAGCAUGUGGUUUAAUUCGACGCAACGCGCAGAACCUUACCUGGGCUGGAAAGUGCUUGGAAGUCUUGUGAAAGCGAGAUGUGCCCGCAAGGGAGCCAAGUGACAGGUGCUGCAUGGCUGUCGU
This 263-nucleotide ribosomal RNA is filed under the name uncultured bacterium. RNAcentral describes it as "partial 16S ribosomal RNA". It matches the Rfam family "Bacterial small subunit ribosomal RNA", at positions 793 to 1055 of the family's 1533-position model. The record is from RNAcentral.